Hydra vulgaris (swiftwater hydra) is the source of this 438-nucleotide long non-coding RNA. RefSeq lists it as uncharacterized. Lineage: Eukaryota; Metazoa; Cnidaria; Hydrozoa; Anthoathecata; Hydridae. The record is from RefSeq and is a predicted model, not a curated record.
CAAAAAGAUUAUAUUUUUAAAACACUUUUUUUUAAAUUUUAAAAAAAAAAUUACAAAUUUUAUAAAAUAAAGAACAGAACACCUUUUAUUGUUGAAACUUUGAUGUAAUUAUCUUUGACAUGUUAAUUAUUCGCACCAUUUAAAGGCACCAAGAAAUUUAGUAGCCAUGGCGCAGUGGUUUAGCAGUUGUGGCGCAGUGGUUUGAGCAUUGGACUCUUGAUCCAAGGUUUGCGGGUUCGAUCUCAGCUCGAAGCAAAUAAACGUUAUCGGUAAAGGUGGAAAUAGAAAGUUAUCUUAAUAAAUGCUAUUCUUCAUGUGGCGGUUCUCUGUGACAAGACCAUUAGGACUUCUUAGAGCACCUUAAUAACUAAAAACAAAAGUUUUAAGAUUUAAUAGGAGUGUACCUUACCACUUUUUAUUCGGCUAAUUUUUAUUUUU